UAAUAAAGAGCUUAAAUGCACAAAUAUGAAGAUAGAGCUAGCUGAUGGCUCUAUUAGUAGCCCAUGGGGCCUUGUUGAGGAUGUUGAGGUUGUUGUGAAGGGGAUUAGUGUUUUGGCUGAUUUUGUUGUCCUUGAUAUGGGAAAAUGGAUUAGAGGCGAGAAUGGGCAUCUCGUGCUGCUUGGCCGACCUUUUAUGGCCA
RNAcentral lists this long non-coding RNA (200 nucleotides) under Salvia miltiorrhiza (redroot sage). RNAcentral describes it as "long non-coding RNA (SMIL_LNC001878)". The record is from RNAcentral. Lineage: Eukaryota; Viridiplantae; Streptophyta; Magnoliopsida; Lamiales; Lamiaceae.